This 216-nucleotide ribosomal RNA is filed under the name uncultured bacterium. RNAcentral describes it as "partial 16S ribosomal RNA". It matches the Rfam family "Bacterial small subunit ribosomal RNA", at positions 1285 to 1500 of the family's 1533-position model. The record is from RNAcentral.
GUCUCAGUUCAGAUUGUAGGCUGAAACUCGCCUAUAUGAAGUCGGAAUUGCUAGUAAUCGCGGAUCAGCAUGCCGCGGUGAAUACGUUCCCGGGCCUUGUACACACCGCCCGUCACACCAUGAGAGUCGAUAACACCCGAAGCCUGUAGUCUAACAGCAAUGAGGACGCAGUCGAAGGUGGGAUUGAUAAUUAGGGUGAAGUCGUAACAAGGUACC